Molecule: long non-coding RNA, 406 nt
Organism: Cotesia glomerata
Lineage: Eukaryota; Metazoa; Arthropoda; Insecta; Hymenoptera; Braconidae
Exons: 2
Source: RefSeq, a predicted model, not a curated record
AGACUGCUGAGUUAAAGGGUUAAUUAUUGAGAAUAAUAAAUUACUUCCUGGUUAAUAUCUUUAUCAUGUUGCAUACAAGAGAUUUUAAGACAAAUUUUAGCGUUUAUUACAAGUUUAUUUUUAUUUUUUUUAAUGGUUGUCAACGCAAGUUGCCACCGGACGACACCCGCCGGUAAUACAGCGGUACUUGAUCACACAGGUUUGUUUUUUGUCGAUACAGUGAAAGUCGGCGCAGGGAUUCGGGCCGUCAGUCCCUGCAAUAAUUAAUUAUUAAUUUAUAUCUUUGAAUUUAUGAUACAGAAUUUUAAUUUUUUUGGAAUAAUAAAAAUGAAUGAAUCUUACAAGUAGUGCAGCCGUUUACAUAACACCACUUUGAACAGCAUUCUAUAGAUUCCUGGCACUAAUU